This 301-nucleotide ribosomal RNA is filed under the name uncultured bacterium. RNAcentral describes it as "partial 16S ribosomal RNA". It matches the Rfam family "Bacterial small subunit ribosomal RNA", at positions 509 to 807 of the family's 1533-position model. The record is from RNAcentral.
CAGCAGCCGCGGUAAUACGGAGGGGGCUAGCGUUGUUCGGAAUUACUGGGCGUAAAGCGUACGUAGGCGGCUUUGUAAGUUAGAGGUGAAAGCCUGGUGCUCAACACCAGAACUGCCUUUAAGACUGCAUCGCUUGAACGUCGGAGAGGUGAGUGGAAUUCCGAGUGUAGAGGUGAAAUUCGUAGAUAUUCGGAAGAACACCAGUGGCGAAGGCGGCUCACUGGACGACUGUUGACGCUGAGGUACGAAAGCGUGGGGAGCAAACAGGAUUAGAUACCCCAGUAGUCCCUGUCUCUUAUAC